GCUUCAAGAGGAUGAACUUGAUUUAGAGUUGAUCAGGAAGGCAAAAGUUUUUCAUUAUGGUUCCAUAAGUCUGAUUACGGAGCCAUGCAAAUCAGCCCAUAUUGCAGCUGCAAAAGCUGCAAAGCAUGCUGGUGUGAUCUUAUCCUAUGAUCCCAAUUUGAGGCUUCCAUUGUGGCCAUCUGCAGAAAGUGCUAGAGAAGGAAUCCUUAGCAUAUGGAAUACUGCUGAUAUAAUUAAGAUAAGUGAAGAAGAGAUUUCGUUUUUGACACAAGGAGAAGAUCCUUAUGAUGAUAAUGUUGUCCGUAAGUUGUACCAUCCAAACCUCAAGUUACUCCUCGUCACAGAAGGUCCAGAAGGUUGCCGAUAUUACACCAAGGAUUUCAGUGGACGAGUUAAGGGUAUAAAGGUGGACGCUGUGGACACCACAGGUGCUGGAGAUGCUUUUGUAGCCGGAAUAUUGUCACAGCUAGCAUCUGAUGUCUCUCUGCUUCAGGAUGAGGGCAAGCUUCGAGAUGCCCUUAGUUUUGCUAAUGCCUGUGGUGCAUUGACCGUGAUGGAGAGAGGAGCAAUUCCAGCUUUGCCUACAAAAGAAGUAGUGUUGAACACCUUGCUCAAGUCAGUUGCAUAAUAUCCAUCCGACCUAUUAAUCGGUUGCCAUUUAAAUGCACUUGCAAAAAGAUCUCCAUGUGCUCCUUGCAUAAUUCUUGUAGGGUAAAAGAAUAUUGUAUAACCACAUUAGCCAAUAAUCGAGAAUAAUUUCUGAUAAAUAUGUGGUAGUUCAUAACCCACAUUAUUAAGCACAUGUAUUUAUUCAAGAUCAAUGU
Molecule: unclassified non-coding RNA, 824 nt
Filed under: Hevea brasiliensis (rubber tree)
Lineage: Eukaryota; Viridiplantae; Streptophyta; Magnoliopsida; Malpighiales; Euphorbiaceae
Source: RNAcentral